Molecule: long non-coding RNA, 2343 nt
Filed under: Capsicum annuum
Lineage: Eukaryota; Viridiplantae; Streptophyta; Magnoliopsida; Solanales; Solanaceae
Description: long non-coding RNA (CANN_LNC007583)
Source: RNAcentral
GUUAAGUGAUUAUCGACCAAGGCAAAAUGGUCCUUUCACCCCAUCUAACUCCCUGGUCCUUUUUUUAAUCCCUAAAUUUGUUCCAAAGUAUAUGAAACACUCCUUAAUACCUAAUUUAUUCUCUCUCCCAAAAUCCGCAAUUUCCAAUCUGAAGUUUCAAGAAUAUGGUCAAAGAUAAUAGUUUCUUCUGAAGGUUUUCUCACGAGUUUCAUCAUCAAGGGUAUGGGAAACAAAUCCAAAGUCUCAUAUCGAAUUCAAGCUAGGGUUCAAACUUCCAAGUUAAGGAUUCAAGCUUUUCCCAAAUUCCUUCCCUCAAAAAGGCAUAUUGAACACUCUCUACUUUAAUUACUAUCCUAAAGUGUGAAUUUCAUUAUCGUUAUACUUAUUUUAUUGAUGUUUUAAGGUUGGAAUUUGAGAAUUGUUAUUACAAACACUAAAUACGUUUUUCCCUCUUUGUACAAACUAUUUCUAACCUCUUGUGGACUGUGUUGGUGAUAUGAAUAAAAUGAUUGAAAGAUGCAUCUUAUUAUAUAGCUUUCAAAAUACUGAAUUUAUGAAUGAUUGAAAUUAUACUUUCAAGUCCUUCAAGAAAGCUUUGAAGUAAACAUGAUGAACAGAGAUGAUGCCCCAUCUUUCUGAAAGAUUGAAAUGUGUUAGAACUUUAUGACUUGCUUUGAGUUUCUUAUGCAAUUUGAUGAUGAAUAUGAGUAUGAUUUAGAAUGAUGGGGUAAGGAGUCGAUAAUGUUUUAUGAUAAUGUUUUUUUGGCAUAAUAUGAAUGGCUUGUAAGUCUUGGUAUUACGAUACCAAUAUGAAGAUGCCUAAUGAAUGACUCCAUGAUUAAUGUUAUGUGAAAAAUGUUUUAAUUGGUCUCUAAAGGGAAUUGCAUAGCUUCACCUUGAAGGCGUAAGUCCUUGUGACCAACGCUCGAAACCUAUAUUUGCCGGUAUAGAAAUGUUGUACCUUAACUGGACGAUCAGAUAGUAUCCUCAAAAUGAGGAUAGUCCUUAACAUGAAGACAAUAUAUAUGGUGGCUCAGUCUAUCGUUGACUCUUGCCUAACCCUCAGCACUUGCGGCCAACAUGUAUUGGGCCCUGCCGGUUGGGGAGUUCCGGACCCAUAUAGCCAUGGGUAAAGAGAUGACGGUGAAAGCUACGUAGUUCAGGACAAAAGUUUUAAAUGAUCAUGUAACAUGUCCCUUGCCCCUACCUCGGCAUCCUAUUACAGUUAUGAUUGUUGAAUAUAUGUUUUAUGACUAAUUUUGGUAAAUUUGCAUAUUUUAUCCCUCUCCUUGGGUUGCAUGUGAGUACUCGCUGUACUGACCGUCUCCGGAUGCUACAUCAUUUCAUGAUGUAGGUUCGGAGGGUUUUUCGCAGUGUUAGGUGGUUUGGUAUCUCUAUUGCGCAGCUGUUGAAGUGGUGAGCCCUCCAUCAUUCAAAAGACCUGUUUCUUUUAGCGCUUUCUGGUUUUAGCACUUUAUUUCUUUCCUUCUGGCAUAGUCGGGGUCAUGUCCCGACUUAGUCGAUGUUUUAUGGAUAGAGGCUUUUAGACAACAUUGGGUUAUGGUUCCUAGAUUUGGAUUUGGUUUUCAAACUUCAUUUCGUUAUUCAUCAAACUCUUUCAUGUUAUAAGUUCAUUUCCGCAAUUAUAUUUGUCACUAUGCUUAAGAUAUAAUGCUAAGGGGUCAUCUCAAGCAUUCAUCGGUUUGGGAUGAUUGUCAUGGGCAGGGCUACUGUUCGGUUCGUGACACUUCGAAAAGUCCCAACUAGCAGAUACUAUUACCAAGGUUCUUCUAAACGAACCUUCGACAGCCACAUGUUCAAGCUACACGUUGUUACACACUGCUUACCUAAAAGAGGUGUAUCAGUCCAUUACUUAGAAUUAGUUAAUCACCGUGUAUUGUGAAGUUCUCUUUUUAAAUUGAUUAGCUAAAUUAGUCUUAAUAAAAUUAUUAUAUUAUCAGUGUAUUUAUCUUAGUCCAAUGUUCAAUAGUUUAGGUUCUUUAAAAGUUAAAACUAGUAGAAGUUCUGCUCACUAGUUUGAUGUUUUUUUAAACUAUAAGAGCAUUUGGUUAGUACGAUGCUUGUAGACAAAGUUAAUAGAAAGUUUUUUCAUAUUAAUACAACUAAUGGACGGUGGUUUGCUGCUUUCGUCUGUUGAUCCAUCUAACUACUUAGCAUAAGAACUAUAGAUGACAUUAAUGGCCUAUCGCUGCAUGGUCCUGGAUAUAGAGAAGGCCAAUAUGAGUCUGAAAUUGAUUUAUCCAUCAGUCUAGUCCUUUGCUUUCCGUCCAUAGCUGUCAUGCCUAAAAUCAUAUAAGCACUCAAAACAUGGUUAAAUUUUAU